This is an unclassified non-coding RNA of Dasypus novemcinctus (nine-banded armadillo), 72 nucleotides long. NCBI's taxonomy places the organism in Eukaryota, Metazoa, Chordata, Mammalia, Cingulata, Dasypodidae. The record is from Ensembl.
AAAGCAGACUUUGACAAGAUUUUGUUCCUUGCCAUACACCUUUCAAAGACAUUUUCAUCUAGUUAUUCAGAG